Molecule: ribosomal RNA, 477 nt
Filed under: Triticum aestivum (bread wheat)
Lineage: Eukaryota; Viridiplantae; Streptophyta; Magnoliopsida; Poales; Poaceae
Description: partial small subunit ribosomal RNA
Source: RNAcentral
AUGGCUGGCAUUGACACGUCGUCGUCCUCGUCGUCGUGGAUGACGAUGGGCACCUUCAUCGUUCCGCAGCCGUUCUCAGGCACCGGCAGGUCGUUGCGGAGGAUGGCGCUCUUAGCCUCGGCGCGUACGCGUGUCCGGUCGUUCAUGGACACCGCCGCGUCGCCGAGUUCAACAACUUGUUCAGAUGACGGAGCCGGCGUCACCACGGCGCGCACGAUUUGUCCGGCGAGACUUGCCAAUGUGCCAUUGUCUUCCUGGACGCCUCGCUGCCGCGCGACGGGCCGGUCCGCCGCCUCCCGGAGGUGGGUGGAUGCUUUCCUCUUGUGGCCGGAGUCAGACACCAUCGACGACUCUGGCGGGGCGGAGUGCACGCCGCCGUGGACGAAUGUGGCGUUGGGCUGGCCGGCGAUCAUUGGGCGGCGGGAGUGGUGCGUGGUGUCGGGGAGGUGUGUGUACCGAGGAGGACGGGAGGGGUAG